This 3063-nucleotide ribosomal RNA is filed under the name Triticum aestivum (bread wheat). RNAcentral's name for it is "partial small subunit ribosomal RNA". The record is from RNAcentral. Lineage: Eukaryota; Viridiplantae; Streptophyta; Magnoliopsida; Poales; Poaceae.
AUCGUUAUUAUUAAGAAAAGGAAAAAAAGGACAUUAUCUCUUCCGUGUGGCCGCUCCGCCUCCACCUCCUCUCCCUGGCUCGAGCCGCCGCCCCGCACCGCACCUUCUCCCUGGCUCCGGCCGCCGCUCCAUGCCCCACCUUCUUCCCUGGCUCCGGCCGCCGCCCCGUGCCCCACCUUCUCCCAUGGAAGCAGUCGCCACCCCUCCCCCACUAUCUCAUGCGCCCUGGGCCGCUCACCAUCCCCCAUCCUCAGCGCGCCGGCCGCCACCAUCCCCAGCGUGCCAACCUCCAGUUCUUCACCUGCCCCAUCGUGACGCCGCCCAAUCUUCUUCCUCCUGGAUUCUCCUAGCCAUGGCGAGCGCCACCUCCCUACACCAAGCUCGCUCUAGACUACGCAGAGCCGCCAACCCCCACCACCUCUCGUGCAGUACAACCCCGCCCAUGUACGAGGUUCAAAGACCUUGCAGAGAGAAGGAAAGGAGAUGUUAAGGUCGGCAGCUUCCUCGUUGCCAUCCUGGUAUGGUCGUGGCUUUUCUGUGGCACACCUCCCACUGCUUCUCCUCGCUGGACUAGUCGACCUACAAGAGAUCAACUCAAACAAAAAGUACUCAAGGUGGACUUAAGCUGAACUAGUGACGGUCUUAGAAACUGCAUGUUUGAAAGUAGUCAAGGUUCUUGAAAGCUAAAAAGUUCGAACCUUGUAAACGACAGCAAGCUUUUUGCCAUUUGUUUCACUUAUUGGAGCGGUUUGCUAAUGGGUACGAUUAAGUAUAACAUAAGUGAAUGAGAGGUUUGGUCCAACUAAUUAGUUUUCUCUGUAUUUUCAGUUUCGUGUACUGUCUUAUCAAUUCUACCGUAGCUCGGAACAGCAGGAGAAAAAUAAAGAAAGUUCAAGUAAAAUCUCAAAUAAAAAUUCGGUUCAAGUUGAAGCCCAGGAGUAUACCCAUAUGGAGUGGACAUGGCAGUCGAUCUUGUUGACGAUUCUCAAUAAAUAGAUGGUGAAGUUAGCAAACGGCUGAAUCAGAUGGUGCCUACCCCUGUAAGUUCACUUUUCAUUGAGUAGUUAGAUGAAGAUUAAUCAUUUUCAGAAAUUCAAAGGUUUACGGUGCUAAUACCCAUUUCUUUCAGAAAAAUUAUCAGUUACAAGUAUCUUCAUUUUGUCGAAAGUUCUUCGGUAUAGCCCGCUCUCCAUCAAAGUAGAAGAGUGUGUGUUGAUUUUCCCUCCCUUGUUCUGAUUGAUAUCAUACAGAAGCUGCUACAGAUGAAUGAAUAUGGUGCAGUUGUUCCAUUCAUUAUAUGGGCAGCAACCUUGUUUAAAUCCUCCUUUGGCUUGGCUGGAACACGAGUUUCAGUAAACAAAAGGAAAACAAAAUGUAGGUGUUCGUCGCAUGUGUCCAUUCAAUAAGGGCUUCGGUGAUGGUCCGCUGCUGGUGGCCGCCUCAAUGUGGUUAAGUUUGGCGUAGUCGCAUGUGUCGCUUGCUGUUGUGGCCGGUCUCCAGGUACAUAGCGUUGUUCCUAUUCAUGCCUGUGUAUGUAGUGUUGCUCCGUUAAAUCAUUUGUUCAUCUUGUUUGUUCCAACCACACUGGAUGCCCAGUACUAUUAGCUUGCACUAGCCUCGACAUGAGCAUCUCAAGCCGUUGUUAAUAGAUGUGAGUAGUACUGAUUGUUUUGCUUGAAUUGGCAUCUCAGAUUAUACUGGAGCAUGUGUUUUCACAGAUAGUUCAUGUUCCAGAUUGCCAAAAGUUCAAACAUAGUGAGAUGGAUGGGAAACUACGAGACAAAGAUGAUAUUUGGACAAAGCAAAAUUAGUAAAAGAAAGAAAACGCUAGAAGUUAAACUAGGGUAGCUUAAAAAGUUCAUGAAAAAUAAAUAUAAAAGUUCAGAGAAGAGGGUUGGAAAAGAUUUGGGAAAAGACACACACAAAAAAAACAUGGAAAAGGUCAGUUAAAAAAAUACUUGCCAUAAGUAGUUAAGAGUUUAUAUGGAGUGGUUAGCAAUUCAGUAACUAGAAAAAGGAUACAUCAGUUCAAAUAUACUUGCCAUAAGUAGUUAAGAGUUUAUUUGAUGUGGUUAAAUAAAUCAAGCUAAUUUUCUGCAGUUCUCGGGUUAGAAAAAGGUUUCACUUAACUUUGUUGAAGUUCAUCUAGAAUCUUGGAAUCCGAUGUGGUGUGUGGCAAGGUACGCACAGAAUGAUAUCUACCUCGAUGAGUGUAAUGUGUUUUCUCACUUCCAGGCCUAGGAAUGUUUUUUCAUUGGACAUACUUCAAAUAUUUUAUAGGUAAGUAAACCAAUCAUGUUUUUGUUGUUCGGAGGGAAAUCAUAAUAAGUUCUAAGGAAAUAAAUAUAGAAGUUCAUAUUUUAAAACAAAUAAAGUAUUUGGAAAGUAAAAUGAAGUAUUUCAAAGUACAGAACUUUUUAGGUUUCAUUGCAAAUUUGUAAUGUUACUGUACACGAACUCAUGCAUGCUAAUUGGUGGUUGUUGUGUGUGUGCAAGGUACAUCCAACGACAACGAGCAGGCGGCAAGUGUACUUAUGCGCAGCGGGACGGUGGCACAGAGUAGUUGAGUAGGUGUGCGUGGUGAGCAGCUACAGAACUGAUUCUGACACGGCAGUAUUAGUCCCACAUAGCCUCUCAACACCCCCUGCUUGAACCUUCACAACCCAGGUCGUUCACUUCCUCGACACGAGGCCGUUCGAUGAUGCAGCGCUCAAGCCGUUCACCCUUACCACCACAAGCCAUUCACCUCCGGUACACGAGGCCGUGCGACGACGCAGCAAUCACACCGUUCACCUCUGCCAUAGGAGGCCAAUGGAAACGCUAAGGAGUUGUGUUCUUUUUCAGUACAUGUUUUGUGUGCUUUUUAGUACACCUACUCAACGAUUCAAUGUCCAAUUUCCUCUUUUUACGUGUUCUUCCUAUAGCACAACAGGUGUUGUGUGUUAUGCCUUAAUAAGCAUUUGAGAAAAUCUUGUAUGGAUCUAAACUAGCAUAUGUUCUGUUCUAUUCUUGUAAAUGAAGCUCCACUUCUGUUUUGUUUGAAGUUACUUGACAUAAAAAUUA